This is an RNA transcript of Populus trichocarpa (black cottonwood), 2727 nucleotides long. It is a transcript of the gene named pentatricopeptide repeat-containing protein At1g06270, with no coding region annotated. The record is from RefSeq and is a predicted model, not a curated record. Lineage: Eukaryota; Viridiplantae; Streptophyta; Magnoliopsida; Malpighiales; Salicaceae. The transcript is spliced from 2 exons.
CUUGUGGCAAUGUUUCGCCGGCUGAAAACCCUUAGCGGGUCCACUGCUUGUUUUUCAUGCCCACGGCCACAACCUGUUUGAUAAUAUUCCCAUGUCGAGAUUUAAUUUUAUUUCAGUUUGAAUCAUUAUUUUGAUUCAUUUACAGAUGACAAAUCUAGCAACAAAGCUGAGCAAAUCUCUUCUUCCUUACAGUAAAAUCCUCCUUCAGUUUCGUACACUCUCUACCUCACAUACACCACUUGAAGAAACCCUCAAAGCAGCAGUUGAAUGCAAAUCCUACUCAAAAUUCCCUGACCUUUUCGACUCCUUUAAACAAUCUAACAACAUCCCAAGUCCUUUUUCUUUCCUCUCUACCUUCCCUUUUAAUCUCAGGACUCAAGUCAUUGAUGAAAUCAUCCAAUCUUUGAUCCCCAUUAGACCCCGCUUUCGAAACUCUAUCGUUUAUAGCUCUCUUCUCUCAUAUACCCUUAAAAAUUCCAAUCUUUUCUCUCUUUCUCUUGCUAUAAUCCAAUGCACUCUUCGUUCUGGGUGCUUACCUGUGCCUCAAACACAUGUUUCUCUCUCUUCUGCUUGGCUUGAUCGCCGGCGUGAAGGUCAGUCAGUUGGUGACAUUCUAAUGGAAAUGAAGUCUAUUGGGUAUAAUCCUGAUUGUGGUUUGUGUAAUUAUAUUGUGUUGUCUUUAUGUAAUGUUGAUCAGUUGAUCGAGGCAGUGAAAGUCUUGAAGGGUAUGAAACAAGUGGGUUGUUUUCCUGAUUGGGAAAGUUAUGGGAUUGUUAUUGGUGCCAUGUGUAGAGUUAGAAAAUGUGACGAUGCAAUUGAGAUGAUGAAGGAAAUGGUGGUGAGAAUGAGAUUGUGUCCUAGGCAGGGAGUAGUGGUGAAAGUAUUGGCAGCGUUGAGGGCGAAUAGAGAGAUGAGGAAAGCUGGUGAGAUGAUUGAGUUCCUGGAGAAGGAAGGGUACGGUGUUGGGUUUGAGAGUUAUGAGUUGGUAGUUGAGGGAUGUUUGGAGUGUAAAGAUUUUUUUUUGGCCGCGAAAGUUGUGAUGGGAAUGACAGAGAAAGGGUUUAUACCUUAUAUCAAGGUGAGGCAAAAGGUAGUUGAGGGAUUGAUUGAUGCUGGUGAAUGGAAGCUUGCUUGUACUGUGAGAGAAAGAUUUGCAGCAUUAAGUUCAUAGUUUCUUUUUUGGUGUUUGAUACUGAGGCUUCUUAGAGAACUGAACUUGUGCAUCUUCUGUGAUGGCUCAUAUAGACUUCAGUUUUUCUUUUUGUUAGCAGCACCAACAUUUUAUCACCUCGAGACAGCUAAUCCAUGGCGGCCGUUCGGUCAUUCUCUCACAAAAUGGACAAGAGGGCGAUGGAGUUGAAACUUACUGCAUCAUGAAGCAUCUUGUUAAGCUAACAUCCAUCAUGUUACAAUUUGGAUCUGGUUGAUACACUUAAAGGACUGCCUACUACUUGACUGGAUAGCUGGGCUCCAUGGCAAUGCCACAGAUACCUUUCUUAUUUCCAGAACCACGUCUCAUCCUUAUGUAGCUGAUUCACCCCAGUCUCUGCCCCAAGAGUUUUUCACAAGCCAAUAUUCUCUACCCCUAGAUUCACCAUAACCAACUGCUGCUACUCCAUGGUUGAGUUGAUCCGCACAGGAGCCACUGAAUAUACCACUGGAAUAGAGUUGAAAUUCAAAAUUACCAGCGUCAAUUGCAACAGAGACAGGUUGCUGGGCAACUGCAGCUUGUACUCUAUUCUAAUUAUUGGCAGGUACUGCUUCAUAACCACUUAUUUUCACUGCAUGGUCCCUAGUUUUCUUUUUCUGACAGGUGCCGUCUUUUCCUUUGUAAGGGUAGUCAUUUUCGGUUGUGAUUCCACCAAUCUUUUUGAUGUAUUGAAAUGUUAUCUUCAUGUCUCCGCCUUCACAGCCCUGGGUAUCACUGCUAACGUCACAUUCCAUGAGCUCUUGUUCUGACAGAGAUACUAAUUUUCCUGUCUUGAUUUUGUUGAUGCCUUCCACAGCUGCCACUGCAGAGAAAGCCCAACAACUUCCUGUGUUGGAAAGAAACUAGCAUCAGCUGUUCUUAUUGAAAAUGAUUUGAGAUAAGAACUGACAAUUAGCAAUUAAAUGAACUUGAAUGAGAAAAACUCAUACCACAUUGACCUUGAUCCUUGAUAGGAGUCACAGCACCUUUCUUCCUCCAAUCUACUGCAGCUGGCAACUCUGUGCUAUUUUCGCACCCCGCACCGUUGUUUAUCUUUUUAGCUGUAUGUCUAUUACUCUGAAAACCCAGGUAGGUAAAUUUGAACUCUUCAUUUGUUAGGUCUGCAAAUUUGUUGUCAGUGAGCCUGAAGGAUAAGUUUUGAGAAUUGAUGUAGUCAAUGAACUGAACAUUAGAUUGGUAUAUUCCAAAACACAGUGACCAUUCGUCUCAUAUUCUCUGCCAUAUCGGGCCAGCCAGUCUUCAAACCUCUGCUCUAUAUCCCCUGGGUCAUAAAUUGGGGUCACCUUGUUUUCAGACGAUGAUACCCUUGAAGGUAUCCAUAGAAUACACAAAACCAUUAGAAUCAAGCCACAGCUCCUCAACGUUAUUGGUGCCCUCAUGGCUAGCUUAAGAUGUUGAUAGAGUAUAGGGGCUUAUAAAUGAAGAUGUAGACUGGGACAUGUAUGUUAUUAUUAUUAUUCAGAUUGGUAACGCAAUGAAGUCAAUAAUUUAUGCUAGUUCAUACCUUUGUUCAAAGU